GCUUAUGUAGCUCAGGGGUAGAGCACAUCCUUGGUAAGGAUGAGGUCGUGGGUUCAAUUCCCACCAUAAGCUCCA
RNAcentral lists this transfer RNA (75 nucleotides) under Roseibacillus persicicus. Its description in RNAcentral is "tRNA-Thr". It matches the Rfam family "tRNA". From Rfam's summary of the family: Transfer RNA (tRNA) molecules are approximately 80 nucleotides in length. RNAcentral also lists the same sequence under 1 other name. The record is from RNAcentral. Lineage: Bacteria; Pseudomonadati; Verrucomicrobiota; Verrucomicrobiia; Verrucomicrobiales; Verrucomicrobiaceae.